UACGGGGGGGUAAGCGUUGUUCGGAAUUACUGGGCGUAAAGGGCUCGUAGGCGGCCAACUAAGUCGGACGUGAAAUCCCUCAGCUUAACUGGGGAACUGCGUCUGAUACUGGAUGGCUUGGAUUUGGGAGAGGGAUGCGGAAUUCCAGGUGUAGCGGUGAAAUGCGUAGAUAUCUGGAGGAACACCGGUGGCGAAGGCGGCAUCCUGGACCAACAUUGACGCUGAGGAGCGAAAGCCAGGGGAGCAAACGGG
This 252-nucleotide ribosomal RNA is filed under the name uncultured bacterium. Its description in RNAcentral is "partial 16S ribosomal RNA". It matches the Rfam family "Bacterial small subunit ribosomal RNA", at positions 524 to 776 of the family's 1533-position model. The record is from RNAcentral.